UGUUCGAUGAAAGAGUUUGAACCCCCGACAAUGAUUGGAAGCUUACGGUGGCUCAAGAUAUCUUCCAUGGCGAGUGAGGUCAUGUCACAGAAGUCUUGAGCUGUGAAAUCUGCAUUGGGCUUUACUACCCCAAGCAAAUGGGAAAAGGGUCGCCAAGUCAAUGGAUAGCCUCGAUUUUCCAGUCCCUGUUGCCCCCAUCACGAUCACCACCUUGUCCUUUGGACGCCUUUGAGUAAAGGUCAAUAUAUCAGAGUGGAGUCAAAGUUGAAGAAAGGGUGGCAAACUUGAUAUGAGAAGAUAAUAUAAUUAAGUUGGCAAUGGCAGCCUCACCUUAGGAGUGCAAUAAAUGUUGGACGCGGCAACCUGAAUGAGUUUUGAGAUGGUCUGCAAACAGGUAACACGUACUCUUGUUGCCUUUAUUGUUAAAUUCUAGUAUAGAAAAAGGGUAAUAAAUGCAAGCAAACAAAAUAUAUUUAAUAUAAAGUUCAGUCUACUUCUUAACUCAAAUAGCAAGGUGAGACCAAGUAUUUAUAAGGGCUGUAUAUUAUAUACGCCAAAUGUGUCAAGUGGAGCUUUCUUUUCAAACUGAAAAAAAAAAAGUGGCCACAGUGCUAUUCUUUUAGUGAAGAGAGAGUAUAUAGUUAUUCUCUGUAGAAAAAAGUUUGAUUUUUUUGUUUUGUUUCUUGUGUUUUGGAAUUCUAUUUCAUAUUUAGCACUAAAAGAAUUUCAGAACAUGGAAGGGAAAGGGAUGGGCCAAAAUAAUAAUGUCCUUAGUGGUUUUCGUAUUAUUGGAUGAAGAGAGUACUCAACAAUUUGCAUUAGAAUAUGACCUUUUAUUUAUUUGGGCUUUCUUCUUUCAAA
Cannabis sativa is the source of this 861-nucleotide long non-coding RNA. RefSeq lists it as uncharacterized. NCBI's taxonomy places the organism in Eukaryota, Viridiplantae, Streptophyta, Magnoliopsida, Rosales, Cannabaceae. The transcript is spliced from 3 exons. The record is from RefSeq and is a predicted model, not a curated record.